AAAGAAACUAACAAGGAUUCCCCUAGUAACGGCGAGUGAAGCGGGAAGAGCACAAAUUUAAAAUCUACCUGGUUUCCAGGUCGAGUUGUAAAUUGAAGAUACGUUUUUGAUGUUCCAGGUUGGACUAAAUCCUUUGGAAUAAGGUAUCAUGGAGGGUGAGAAUCCCAUAUAUACCAACCGUAGGGAUGUUAUUAAUACGUUUUCAAGAGUCGAGUUGUUUGGGAAUGCAGCUCUAAAUGGGUGGUAAAUUUCACCUAAUGCUAAAUAUAAGCGAGAGACCGAUAGCGAACAAGUACAGUGAUGGAAAGAUGAAAAGAACUUUGAAAAGAGAGUUAAAUAGUACGUGAAAUUGUUGAAAGGGAAACGAUUGAAGUCAGUCAUGCCAGUGGGAAUCAACUUAGAGAAACUCUAAGUGCACUUCUUUGCUUGGCAGGUCAAUGUCGAUUUUGGAUGUCAUAAAGUGAUUGGGGGAAGGUAGCUCUUUUGGGAGUGUUAUAGCCUUUGGUAGAUGUGAUGUCUGGGAUCGAGGAUUGCAAUGGAUACCCUUUAGGGCUAGCCAUCUGAUCUCUAAUCAGUAUUGGAUUACGGAUAGCAUGCUGACUGUGAUUCAAUUAUUGGUUAAAGAUUAGAGCGUGCAUAAAUUCAUUAAGGACGUUGACGUAAUGGCUUUAAACGACCC
This 679-nucleotide ribosomal RNA is filed under the name Gigaspora rosea. Its description in RNAcentral is "eukaryotic LSU rRNA". It matches the Rfam family "Eukaryotic large subunit ribosomal RNA", at positions 58 to 650 of the family's 3401-position model. The record is from RNAcentral. Lineage: Eukaryota; Fungi; Glomeromycota; Glomeromycetes; Diversisporales; Gigasporaceae.